RNAcentral lists this ribosomal RNA (497 nucleotides) under uncultured bacterium. RNAcentral describes it as "partial 16S ribosomal RNA". It matches the Rfam family "Bacterial small subunit ribosomal RNA", at positions 28 to 507 of the family's 1533-position model. The record is from RNAcentral.
GAUGAACGCUGGCGGCGUGCCUAAUACAUGCAAGUCGAGCGAAAAGACGUGGAGCUUGCUUCACUGGCGUUAGAGGCGGAAGGAUUAGUUACACAUGGACAACCUCCCUAUGGGUCUGGGAUCACUUCCUUUGCUCAUAGCUCAUACCAGCUACGAUAUUAAACCGGAUAGUUCAAUAGUGUAAGCCGGCUUUGCUGUCGCUGAUAGAUUGGUCCGUGCCGGAUUAGGUAGUUGGUAAGGUAACCGCUUACCAAGGCAACGAUGCGUAGCAGACCUGAGAGGGUGAUCGGCCACACUGGAACUGAGACACGGCCCAGACUCCUACGGGAGGCAGCAGUAGGGAAUCUUGGGCAAUGGGCGAAAGCUUGACCCAGCAAUGCCGCGUGAGUGAUGAAGGUCUUCGGAUUGUAAAACGCUGUUGUUAGGAAAGAACAAAUGUGUAAGUAACAAGGCGGGUCUUGACGGUACCGAAAGAGAAAGCAACGGCUAACUACGUG